AGUCGACGGAUCCUUCGGGGUUAGUGGCGGACGGGUGAGUAACACGUGGGAACGUGCCUUUUGGUUCGGAAUAGCUCCUGGAAACGGGUGGUAAUGCCGAAUGUGCCCUUCGGGGGAAAGAUUUAUCGCCAUUAGAGCGGCCCGCGUCUGAUUAGCUAGUUGGUGAGGUAAAGGCUCACCAAGGCGACGAUCAGUAGCUGGUCUGAGAGGAUGACCAGCCACAUUGGGACUGAGACACGGCCCAAACUCCUACGGGAGGCAGCAGUGGGGAAUCUUGCGCAAUGGGCGAAAGCCUGACGCAGCCAUGCCGCGUGAAUGAUGAAGGUCUUAGGAUUGUAAAAUUCUUUCACCGGGGACGAUAAUGACGGUACCCGGAGAAGAAGCCCCGGCUAACUUCGUGCCAGCAGCCGCGGUAAUACGAAGGGGGCUAGCGUUGCUCGGAAUUACUGGGCGUAAAGGGAGCGUAGGCGGACAUUUAAGUCAGGGGUGAAAUCCCAGAGCUCAACUCUGGAACUGCCUUUGAUACUGGGUGUCUUGAGUGUGAUAGAGGUAUGUGGAACUCCGAGUGUAGAGGUGAAAUUCGUAGAUAUUCGGAAGAACACCAGUGGCGAAGGCGACAUACUGGAUCAUUACUGACGCUGAGGCUCGAAAGCGUGGGGAGCAAACAGGAUUAGAUACCCUGGUAGUCCACGCCGUAAACGAUGAUUGCUAGUUGUUGGGAUGUUU
This 726-nucleotide ribosomal RNA is filed under the name Brevundimonas sp. N4_93_1. RNAcentral's name for it is "bacterial SSU rRNA". It matches the Rfam family "Bacterial small subunit ribosomal RNA", at positions 60 to 833 of the family's 1533-position model. Lineage: Bacteria; Pseudomonadati; Pseudomonadota; Alphaproteobacteria; Caulobacterales; Caulobacteraceae. The record is from RNAcentral.